UUUGAGUCAAACAACAUCCAACUUGUAACUAAAUCCUUCCAGACACCCCUAUAAUAUUUAGAGAAAUAUAUAUUUGUAGUCCUAAAAAAAUUAACAGCCAAAUUUAAUAGUCAUAAACUUUAAAAAAUAGUAGAGAAUUCCUGUCUUGUUUUCCACAUGGUUAUUUCCUCCAUUGAUAUAUACAAAUUUUCUGCUCAUUUCGUCUUUUUGGUCUCAUUUAACAUAUAAUAGUAAAAUAAAAGGAAAAGACUUCUCUUAUAGAUUAUAUAGAAAAUACUUAUAUACAA
Molecule: long non-coding RNA, 287 nt
Filed under: Nicotiana benthamiana
Lineage: Eukaryota; Viridiplantae; Streptophyta; Magnoliopsida; Solanales; Solanaceae
Description: long non-coding RNA (NBEN_LNC032102)
Source: RNAcentral